Molecule: ribosomal RNA, 486 nt
Filed under: Cryptococcus sp. CMT8
Lineage: Eukaryota; Fungi; Basidiomycota; Tremellomycetes; Tremellales; Cryptococcaceae
Description: eukaryotic LSU rRNA
Rfam family: 5.8S ribosomal RNA (bases 101-254)
Source: RNAcentral
GGCCUUAUCCUUAUAUCCCUCACCUCUGUGAACUGUGGACCCUCGGGUCCGUCUUUAACAAACAUCAGUGUAAUGAACGUGUAAAUACAUAACAAAACAAAACUUUCAACAACGGAUCUCUUGGCUCUCGCAUCGAUGAAGAACGCAGCGAAAUGCGAUAAGUAAUGUGAAUUGCAGAAUUCAGUGAAUCAUCGAAUCUUUGAACGCACCUUGCGCCUUUUGGUAUUCCGAAAGGCAUGCCUGUUUGAGUGUCAUGAAAUCUCAAUCCCCUCGGGUUUAUGAUCUGGGUGGGACUUGGACUUGGGCGUCUGCCGGUUACACGGCUCGCCUCAAAUGACUUAGUGGAUCUCUCUGCAUCCGUGACAGACGUAAUAAGUUUCGUCUUGUCCCUUGCUGGAUGAGUCCGCUCACAACCUGCCAUCGCGCACUUUAGACUCUGACCUCAAAUCAGGUAGGACUACCCGCUGAACUUAAGCAUAUCAAUAA